UGGGGAAUAUUGGGCAAUGGAGGAAACUCUGACCCAGCAACGCCGCGUGGAGGAAGAAGGUUUUCGGAUCGUAAACUCCUGUCCUUGGAGACGAGUAGAAGACGGUAUCCAAGGAGGAAGCCCCGGCUAACUACGUGCCAGCAGCCGCGGUAAUACGUAGGGGGCAAGCGUUGUCCGGAAUAAUUGGGCGUAAAGGGCGCGUAGGCGGCUCGGUAAGUCUGGAGUGAAAGUCCUGCUUUUAAGGUGGGAAUUGCUUUGGAUACUGUCGGGCUUGAGUGCAGGAGAGGUUAGUGGAAUUCCCAGUGUAGCGGUGAAAUGCGUAGAGAUUGGGAGGAACACCAGUGGCGAAGGCGACUAACUGGACUGUAACUGACGCUGAGGCGCGAAAGUGUGGGGAGCAAACAGGAUUAGAUACCCUGGUAGUCCACACUGUAAACGAUGAAUGCUAGGUGUAGGGGGUAUCGACCCCUUCUGUGCCGCAGUCAACACAAUAAGCAUUCCGCCUGGGGAGUACGGCCGCAAGGUUGAAACUCAAAGGAAUUGACGGGGGCCCGCACAAGCAGCGGAGCAUGUGGUUUAAUUCGACGCAACGCGAAGAACCUUACCAGGUCUUGACAUCCACUUAAACUUACAGAGAUGUAAGGUGUGCUUGCACAAAGUGAGGCAGGUGGUGCAUGGUUGUCGUCAGCUCGUGUCGUGAGAUGUUGGGUUAAGUCCCGCAACGAGCGCAACCCUUAUCUUCAGUUACUAACGCGUGAAGGUGAGGACUCUGAAGAGACUGCCGGGGACAACUCGGAGGAAGGUGGGGACGACGUCAAAUCAUCAUGCCCCUUAUGACCUGGGCUACACACGUGCUACAAUGGCCACGACAGAGAGAAGCGAAAUCGUAAGGUAGAGCGGAACUCAAAAAAGUGGUCCCAGUUCGGAUUGUGGGCUGCAACCCGCCCACAUGAAGUCGGAGUUGCUAGUAAUCGCGGAUCAGCAUGCCGCGGUGAAUACGUUCCC
RNAcentral lists this ribosomal RNA (1005 nucleotides) under uncultured bacterium. Its description in RNAcentral is "bacterial SSU rRNA". It matches the Rfam family "Bacterial small subunit ribosomal RNA", at positions 355 to 1375 of the family's 1533-position model. The record is from RNAcentral.